UACGUAGGUGGCAAGCGUUGUCCGGAAUUAUUGGGCGUAAAGCGCGCGCAGGCGGUUCCUUAAGUCUGAUGUGAAAAGCCCCCCGGCUCAACCGGGGAGGGUCAUUGGAAACUGGGGGAACUUGAGUACUGAAGAGGAAAGCGGAAUUCCACGUGUAGCGGUGAAAUGCGUAGAGAUGUGGAGGAACACCAGUGGCGAAGGCGGCUUUCUGGUCAGUAACUGACGCUGAGGCGCGAAAGCGUGGGGAGCAAACAGG
This 256-nucleotide ribosomal RNA is filed under the name uncultured bacterium. RNAcentral describes it as "partial 16S ribosomal RNA". It matches the Rfam family "Bacterial small subunit ribosomal RNA", at positions 524 to 776 of the family's 1533-position model. The record is from RNAcentral.